This 864-nucleotide ribosomal RNA is filed under the name uncultured bacterium. Its description in RNAcentral is "bacterial SSU rRNA". It matches the Rfam family "Bacterial small subunit ribosomal RNA", at positions 62 to 889 of the family's 1533-position model. The record is from RNAcentral.
UCGAACGAGUUCUCGUUGAUGAUCGGUGCUUGCACCGAGAUUCAACAUGGCACGAGUGGCGGACGGGUGAGUAACACGUGGGUAACCUGCCCUUAAGUGGGGGAUAACAUUUGGAAACAGAUGCUAAUACCGCAUAGAUCCAAGAACCGCAUGGUUCUUGGCUGAAAGAUGGCGUAAGCUAUCGCUUUUGGAUGGACCCGCGGCGUAUUAGCUAGUUGGUGAGGUAAUGGCUCACCAAGGCGAUGAUACGUAGCCGAACUGAGAGGUUGAUCGGCCACAUUGGGACUGAGACACGGCCCAAACUCCUACGGGAGGCAGCAGUAGGGAAUCUUCCACAAUGGACGCAAGUCUGAUGGAGCAACGCCGCGUGAGUGAAGAAGGCUUUCGGGUCGUAAAACUCUGUUGUUGGAGAAGAAUGGUCGGCAGAGUAACUGUUGCCGGCGUGACGGUAUCCAACCAGAAAGCCACGGCUAACUACGUGCCAGCAGCCGCGGUAAUACGUAGGUGGCAAGCGUUAUCCGGAUUUAUUGGGCGUAAAGCGAGCGCAGGCGGUUUUUUAAGUCUGAUGUGAAAGCCCUCGGCUUAACCGAGGAAGCGCAUCGGAAACUGGGAAACUUGAGUGCAGAAGAGGACAGUGGAACUCCAUGUGUAGCGGUGAAAUGCGUAGAUAUAUGGAAGAACACCAGUGGCGAAGGCGGCUGUCUGGUCUGUAACUGACGCUGAGGCUCGAAAGCAUGGGUAGCGAACAGGAUUAGAUACCCUGGUAGUCCAUGCCGUAAACGAUGAAUGCUAGGUGUUGGAGGGUUUCCGCCCUUCAGUGCCGCAGCUAACGCAUUAAGCAUUCCGCCUGGGGAGUACGACCGC